Transfer RNA from Loxodonta africana (African savanna elephant), 71 nucleotides. It matches the Rfam family "tRNA". From Rfam's summary of the family: Transfer RNA (tRNA) molecules are approximately 80 nucleotides in length. Their secondary structure includes four short double-helical elements and three loops (D, anti-codon, and T loops). Further hydrogen bonds mediate the characteristic L-shaped molecular structure. tRNAs have two regions of fundamental functional importance: the anti-codon, which is responsible for specific mRNA codon recognition, and the 3' end, to which the tRNAs corresponding amino acid is attached (by aminoacyl-tRNA synthetases). tRNAs cope with the degeneracy of the genetic code in two manners: having more than one tRNA (with a specific anti-codon) for a particular amino acid; and 'wobble' base-pairing, i.e. permitting non-standard base-pairing at the 3rd anti-codon position. Lineage: Eukaryota; Metazoa; Chordata; Mammalia; Proboscidea; Elephantidae. The record is from Rfam.
GCAGUAGUGGUUCAGUGGUAGAAUUCUCCCCUUCUAUGCAAGAGACCUGGGUUCAAUUCCCGGCCAAUGCA